AUCGAUGAAGAACGCAGCGAAAUGCGAUAAGUAAUGUGAAUUGCAGAAUUCAGUGAAUCAUCGAAUCUUUGAACGCACCUUGCGCUCCUUGGUAUUCCGAGGAGCAUGCCUGUUUGAGUGUCAUUAAAUUCUCAACCCCUCCAGCUUUUGCGAGUUGUGAUGGGGCUUGGAUCUGGGAGCUUGCGGGUCUUUAUCAAUAAAGGUCAGCUCUCCUGAAAUACAUUAGCGGAACCGUUUGCAGUCCCGUCACUAGUGUGAUAAUUAUCUACACUGUGAUGAUUGCUCUCUGACUAGUUCAGCUGCUAAUCGUCCACUAUGGACAACACUUAAUGAAAUUCUUGACCUCAAAUCAGGUAGGACUACCCGCUGAACUUAAGCAUAUCAAUAAGCGGAGGAAAAGAAACUAACAAGGAUUCCCCUAGUAACUGCGAGUGAAGCGGGAAAAGCUCAAAUUUAAAAUCUGGCGGUCUCUGGCCGUCCGAGUUGUAAUCUAGAGAAGUGAUGCCCGCGCUGGACCGUGUACAAGUCUCCUGGAAUGGAGCGUCAUAGAGGGUGAGAAUCCCGUCUCUGACACGGACUACCAGGGCUUUGUGGUAUCCUCUCAAAGAGUCGAGUUGUUUGGGAAUGCAGCUCUAAAUGGGUGGUAAAUUCCAUCUAAAGCUAAAUAUUGGCGAGAGACCGAUAGCGAACAAGUACCGUGAGGGAAAGAUGAAAAGAACUUUGGAAAGAGAGUUAAACAGUACGUGAAAUUGCUGAAAGGGAAACGCUUGAAGUCAGUCGCGUUGGCCAGGAAUCAGCCUCGCUCUUGCGUGGUGUACUUUUUGGUUGACGGGUCAGCAUCAAUUUUGACUGCUGGAAAAAGGCUUAGGGAAUGUGGCAGCUUCGGCUGUGUUAUAGCCCUUUGUCACAUACAGCGGUUGGGAUUGAGGAACUCAGCACGCCGCAAGGCCGGGUUUCGACCACGUUCGUGCUUAGGAUGCUGGCAUAAUGGCUUUAAGCGACCCGUCUUGAAACACGG
RNAcentral lists this ribosomal RNA (1018 nucleotides) under uncultured Basidiomycota. Its description in RNAcentral is "eukaryotic LSU rRNA". The stretch from base 340 to 1018 matches the Rfam family "Eukaryotic large subunit ribosomal RNA", at positions 1 to 664 of the family's 3401-position model. The record is from RNAcentral. Lineage: Eukaryota; Fungi; Basidiomycota.